Oncorhynchus tshawytscha (Chinook salmon) is the source of this 815-nucleotide long non-coding RNA. Lineage: Eukaryota; Metazoa; Chordata; Actinopteri; Salmoniformes; Salmonidae. The record is from Ensembl.
GUAGAGUCCAGUGUGUGGGUAGAGUCCAGUGUGUGGGUAGAGUUUAGUGUGUGGGUAGAGUCCAGUGUGUGGGUAGAGUUUAGUAUGUGGGUAGAGUCCAGUGUGUGGGUAGAGUCCAGUAUGGGUAGAGUCCAGUGUGUGGGUAGAGUCCUGUAUGGGUAGAGUCCAGUGUGUGGGUAGAGUCCUGUAUGGGUAGAGUCCAGUGUGUGGGUAGUGUCCAGUGUGUGGGUAGAGUCCAGUCUGUGGGGUAGAGUUCAGUAUGGGUAGAGCCCAGUGUGUGGGUAGAGUCCAGUAUGGGUAGAGUCCAGUGUGUGGGUAGAGUCCAGUACGGGUAGAGUUUAGUGUGUGGGUAGAGUCCAGUGUGUGGAUAGAGUUUAGUGUGUGGGUAGGUUCCAUGUGGGGUAGAGUCCAGUGUGUGGGUAGAGUCCAGUGUGUGGGUAGAGUCCAUGUGUUGGGUCGAGUCCAGUGUGCGGGUCGAGUCCAGUGUGCGGGUAGAGUCCAGUGUGCGGUUAGAGUCCAGUGUGCGGGUAGAGUCCAGUGUGCGGGUAGAGUCCAGUGUGCGGGUAGAGUCCAGUGUGCGGGUAGAGUCCAGUGUGCGGUUAGAGUCCAGUGUGCGGGUAGAGUCCAGUGUGUGGGUAUCAGUACAAGAGUUAGUGCAAAAAAGGUCAAUGCAGGUAGUCCGAGUAACCAUUUCAUUAGCUAAUUAGCAGUCUUGUUUAGCGGCCUUAUGGCUUGGGGGUAGAAGCUGUUCAGGGUCCUGCUGGUUUCAGACUUUGUGCACUGGUACCGCUUGCCAUUCAGUAGCAGAGAAAACA